RNAcentral lists this unclassified non-coding RNA (334 nucleotides) under soil metagenome. Its description in RNAcentral is "partial contains 5.8S ribosomal RNA, internal transcribed spacer 2, and large subunit ribosomal RNA". The stretch from base 1 to 120 matches the Rfam family "5.8S ribosomal RNA", at positions 35 to 154 of the family's 154-position model. The record is from RNAcentral.
GAUGAAGAACGUAGCGAAAUGCGAUAAGUAAUGUGAAUUGCAGAAUUCAGUGAAUCAUCGAAUCUUUGAACGCACAUUGCGCCUGCCAGUAGUCUGGCGAGCAUGCCUGUUCGAGCGUCAUUUCAACCAUCAAGCCCCAGGCUUGUGUUGGAGCCCUGCGGCUGCCGCAGCCUCCCAAAACCAGUGGCGGGCUCGCUAUCACACCGAGUGCAGUAGUUUACUCUUCGCUCAGGGCGUGUGGCGGGUGCUAGCCGUGAAACCCCCAACUUCUCAAGGUUGACCUCGGAUCAGGUAGGAAUACCCGCUGAACUUAAGCAUAUCAAUAAGCGGAGGA